Molecule: long non-coding RNA, 6728 nt
Filed under: Sus scrofa (pig)
Lineage: Eukaryota; Metazoa; Chordata; Mammalia; Artiodactyla; Suidae
Description: lncRNA (ENSSSCG00015068887.1)
Source: RNAcentral
AAACUAACUGAGGUUUUGACAGAUGAUUUUGUUGCAGGGGGAGGUACAAAGUAGAGUCAAACCUUGAAGGUGUUGGGAGAGAAUGGGACCAGGAGAGGACAAAUAGUGUCACUUCUCUGGCAGCUGCUAGUAGAAAUGACAAUGUACCUCUUGACUUAUGGAAGCACUCCCUGAAGAGAAGCCAGGCUUUCAUACGAACAGCUUGAAGGGAAUCAGGCCCUAAGUACUAGGCUUCAGCAGAUGCCUGUGUUUUAAAUGUACCCCUUGAUUUUUAUUUGCAGUUUCCAACUUCAGAGCUAAAACAGCAACUACUUUAAUGUUAGUAACUUUGAGUAGAAGCACUUAAGUUCUGCCCCACGCUUGGACAUUGGGUAAAACCAAGCCUUCUUUGCAUAUGUGUUGAGGACAUAUGAGUAUGUAUGUUUGUGAGUGCAAACGUACAAAAAUAACUGAGAUUAAAAUUUGGACCAGUCUCAAAGGAAGGACAUUCGGUUAUAUUUGCUUUCAAUGAGACAGUAAAAUGUGACUUUUUUUGCAUACUUGACUUUGCAUAUACAAAAAUACUGUAUGAUAAAAUAAUAGUUUUGAAUAAAGUUAAGAAGCUGAAGAGCUGCAUAUCUGAAUGCCAAAGACAGAUGUGUUUGGUACACAAAAAUAAUUGCAGAUGAAAAUAAAAUAGUUUACUUUUUCUGGCAGAGAGGGUUGGAAGGAAUAAAAACAGAUACAUAUUUCCUUCUAUUCUAUAUUCCACUUAAGUUUGUGUGAUUACUUUCAUCUCAACUAAUUUAUGUUUAUCCUUCGUCUCCCGAAUUCCUGAAAGCAUGAUCCACUGCAAUUCCCGGUACUUAGCCCUGCCCUGUUCCAUCUUUGUUUCAGAUAUUACUCUGCCCCUUCCUUUUAAAUAAGUGAAAUAACAGAAUAUUGGUGUCUUGGGAGAAGGAAUUUUUUUUUUAAGUCUCCAGAAGGUUGUAAAUGUGGAAAUAAAGUACUCUAUCACAGGACUAUAUAUACUUGUAUAUGAAUUUUAAUUUUAGGAGUUGUUAGCUGUUUGGUUUUUUCUUAUUCCAUCCCUACUUAUUUCUCCUUACACAAUCUGAAAUGCUUUGCUUUUCAGUACCAUCUGACAUACAUCAUUUAUUUAAUUUACUCAAGUGCUUGUUUAUUGGCUGUCUGUACCCACAAAAAUAAAGUUACAGUGGCAGCAAUAUUUGUGUUUUCAUGAAAAUAUACAAUGCUGCACCCUCCCUUUCCCCAGCACUAGAAGAGUAUCCACCAAUUGAUGCUCAAUAUUUGUUAAUUGAAUGAAUGAAGGAAUAUCUUAGAUUCACACUUUAUCAUCGGUAAACUGCAGAUGGUAAAAUGAGUUUCACAAGUUAAUUAUGAAAAUUAGAAUAUAUAUAUUAAAUAUAAAGUGAUGAUAAAGUAUCUUUUGGUGUUCCAAGUUGAUAGAUAGUAUUUUUGUUGUUGUUUUUAAAGUAAAAGAAAUAGUCAUAUAGAAGAAACAGAAAGGCCUCUAAUAUAGAGAAGAGAUAGGGUAGAAUAGUUUUAUGGGGAAAGGUAAUGGAACAUAAAGGGAUUUGAUUUUGGAGGAAGGAUUAUUAAUAGACUGGCAACAUAGCUUGUAUGCACAACCCAUACUGUUGUGUACAGUAGAAUUUUCUGUGAGGGUACAAAUAUUCUGUGUCCGUGCUGUUCAGUGCAGUAGCUGUUAAUCCAUCUAUGGCUAUAGAGUGCAUGAAAGGAGAAUAGUACGACUAAGAAACUGAAGUUUUAAUUUUUUUUUUUUGUUUAAUUUUCAUUUAAACUCACACGGUCACAUGUGGCAGUAGCUAUUUUAUGACAGAGCAGAUCUUGAGCAAUGGCUCCCCAAACUAAAUGGACUUAACGAAGCCUAGCUUAAGAACACCCAUUAAAAUGCAGAUUUUCAUGCUUUACCUCUGAAUUCAUUUGCACUAGACCUGAGGGUGAGGCCCAGGACUCCACAUUUUAAGGAAUCAAUUUUGGAUUAUUUAUGUAGGUUAUCUUUCGAUUUUGCCUCUGUGCCAGUUCCUGGAGGUCUAUUUCUGUCAUUCCCUCUGUCUUUGCUUGUACUGUGUCCCCCAGUCUUUAAAAUAUAUGUCACAUUAAAUGUUACCAGUGGUUUCAUCCCAUCGGUCCAAAAACAAAAAAUCAUAUCUAGGAAGCAGAGUUGCUCCCUUCAUUCUCUUUGAAGUUAAUUUUAAGUAAAGGCUGAUUUAUAAUUCCAUUCUCAUCAUUCACCUCUAAAUUUAAUCCUCCUUAUUCUUCCAGAGAGUCAAGGCUUUAUUAUAAGCGGGAUGAAGAAUCCUGGUAGUUUUGCAUCAUUUAGACUAAAUUCAGUAAUGCCCAUUGUUCAGAUAUUUACAAUUGUAUCCCCAAACACCUCUGAAGACAAUAAAAUUUUCAACUCUGGGGACUUGAGAGGUCCUACACUUUCAUUUUACUGAUUUAAAAAAAUGAUAACCAAAAAGUCAAGGCUGAAGAGCUAAUCAUUACUGUUUCCUUUUUUCCACAUAUCCAAUCUUUGGAGGCCAAAGGCAAAUGGUCAAAGAUUAAUGAUGAUUAACAUUUAUUGACCACUUCUUUUUCAGAAGAGGAUUAUAUGUGGAAAUUUAAUGAGUAAAGAGGUUGUUUCCAUCACCUUUGUGAUGUAGUUGCAAUACCCAGGAUAUAUAGGUAUAUCGGUUACUCUGCUUUUGGCUAGAAGGGAAAAAAAACUGUCUGAAAACUUGAAAAUGGCUUCUUCAUAAAGGCAGCUUAGGAGUUCCCGUCGUGGCGCAGUGGUUAACGAAUCUGACUAGGAACCAUGAGGUUGCGGGUUCGGUCCCUGCCCUUGCUCAGUGGGUUAACCAUCCGGCGUUGCCGUGAGCUGUGGUGUAGGUUGCAGACGCGGCUCGGAUCCUGCGUUGCUGUGGCUCUGGCGUAGGCCGGUGGCUACAGCUCCGAUUCGACCCCUAGCCUGGGAACUUCCAUAUGCCGCGGGAGCGGCCCAAGAAAUAGCAACAACAACAACAACAAAAGACAAAAAGACAAAAAAUAAAAUAAAAUAAAAAAUAAAGGCAGCUUAUUAUUUACAAAUUGAGAAGUCUGGAGAGAGACAGUUGCCGCAUCAGUUCAAUGGCUCAGGAAUGCCAUCAAGGUUCCAAUGUUCUGGCUUUGUCUCUAGUAGGCUCUGCAUUUCGAUGGUCUAGUCUCAGUCGUACAAACUCUUGGUGACAGGAUGGUUGCCCCAGAUUCAUAAACAUGUCCUCCAAAGAAAGGAAAGGAAAAAGGUAGACUAUUUCUUAGAGUUAUACCGUUAUUAGGGAAAUAAAUCUUCUACACAAGCCUGCAGCAGACUUUUGUAUGUUUCAUUGGCCAGAUUUUUGAUGCCUGAUGACUCUUAACUGCAGAAGAGAUUAAUAAAUAAAGGGUCCUACCUUUCAGUCUCUGUGAUGGAAUCAAUAUCUUUCAGAAAGGAAAAAAGUGAAGGAAAACAGCCAUGGUUAGGCAAGCAUUUUCUACCAGAAGGGAAUAUGGUCUUGCUACGGAUAUAUUAAAUUUUUACAGGAACUUAAAAGAUGAUUAUGAAGACAUUUCCAUUUUGGAGAUUAGUGUAGAAGACUUUUGACCCAAUGGUUGUCAACUUAGAAAUUCUUCCCUUCCUUAGAGUAUGGAGGAAAUAAAACAACCAUCUGACAAGAAGAAUGAGCAAUAAGACAGAGGAGUCCUGAAGUUAAAUAAAACACAGCUCUAACAUUUUUUUCCCAGAAAAGAUUUUGGGGAGGGAGUAUAGAAUAAAUUGUUUAUAGCUCUCACUCUUAUAUUGAGCUGCCAUUGAAUAAGAUAAAUAGUCUACUAGUGUGUGAUGCAGAGAAACAGUGUGAAUCAAAGCAGGCAAUGUUAUUGCUUUCCAAGGCAGUGGUUUGCCUAAAUGGAGAGUACUAUGUCUGGUAUUUGUCACUAUUUCUUAGAAAGGGUAUAAUUUCUCUUGAAGGACUAUUACACUAAGUCACUUAAUGAUACCAAGCUUCUAAGAUUUAAGAUGUAAAGGAAGAAUGUUAAAAGUUGUGCAUUUGUUCACUGGGAGGUAAAAGGGAGUUUAAAUUCCUAUUUAGCCUUGGCAAUUUCCAUCACUGGCAGAGACUAUUCCUCUCUCAUGUUUUUCUCUUUAUUCAGUGCCAGUCCAUAUUCUGCUGCUACUUCCCUUACUCACCACUUUAACUGCAGCACUUUAUGUGAGGGGCACAAGUGAAGCAAGGAAUCUGUGCUGCUCUGUGAAUCAUCUGUCACAGGAAGGCUUAAAUGCGUGUUUCUUACCUGCCUGGAGGAAAAUGCAGUAAAUGCAUUUUGAGUGAGGGAGAGAAAGUUGUGUGUUCUUAAUAACUGGCAUAUUUAUUACGACUUAAACAGGAAAAUUGCAUAUUUGUGAAUUGAAAACCACAGGUGGAUGGAAUGAUCAGCUUUGUCUACAUGCAGAAUUACAACCAGGGCUAUGAGUAUGUGGUUCAUCAGUAAAACUAGUAGGAUAAAGCAGACCCAGAUUAAUCCUCUGGCUGUUCAUCAGUAACUGUAACAACAUGAGAAAAGUGCAUACCACUCUGGGCUUCAUUUUCCUCAUUGCUAAAAUACAGAUACUAAUCAUACACAUCAACAGAGUUUUAAUAAUAUUAAAUGAGCUAAUUACUAUAAAUUCUUUAGUUAGGAUCUGAUAUACAGAAAGCCCCUAUUACAUAUCAGCUGUGAUGCUGACAAUAAUAAUACCAACAAAAUCCAAAUGAGUAGUCAUAAGAUACUCAAAGAGCAAUUUUCCAAAAAGAAAAAUGAGAACUACGUGAAUGUAUGAAUACAAAUAAAAGACUGAAAUAUAUUAAAAUGAAUUCUGAGGUGCACAGAUAUUGAAAAGUUGGCUUUGAAAGCCACAAAACCCAGUGAAAUUGGUCUUUAUGGAGCCAGGCUAAAUGGCUCUCUGCAUUUUAGCUGGAUUCGCUGCCUUGUGUAAUACUGUGUUAGCCAUUUCUUAACCAUUAAUGAUUAAGAGGUUGGACAUUGCCUCAUGAAUCCACAUGGUUCAAACAAGUUCCAACACUUGGGAGCCCUUUGACCUCAGAAAAAAACUGUUUAAAUUCUCUGUGGAUAAGGUUUUCCAUUGCAGGAGUUCCUGCUGGGGUAUUAGGGGAUUGGCGAUCAGUGGCAUCUCUGCAGCAUCUGGACACAGAUUGGAUCCCCAGCUGGCACAGUGGAUUCAAGGAUCUGGUGUUGCUGCAGCUGCAGCAUAGGUCGCAACUGCUACUCAGAUCGAUACCUGGCCUGGAAACUCCAUAGGCCAUGGAGUGGCCAAAAAACAACAAAAAAAGACUUUCCAUUCUGAAUCAGGAGCAAAUUAUAUUAUUUUAUUAGCUAUUCCAUAUGGCUGCUUCUUAGGAUUUCAUGAACUUACUGUGCAAGCACUCAAAAUAGUGCAUGCCAUAUAGUAAGUAUUUAAUAAGAAUUAGCAAUUAUUAGUGGAUGAAAAAGAAAAUUCCAUCAGUUAUAGGAGCAAAAAUGACCUGGAUCCUCACACCGCAUGUUAUAGUUUCAAAUGAACAUUCAAUUCCAGUCAUUUGGGAACAGAACAUGAUCUUAUUCUGCGUACAUUAGAAUUUGGUGCCAAGAAUAAAAGGGGCUUAAAUAAAAUGGAGCUUUUUUAUUUUUCUUCUGAAGAUACAACAUAGUCCAGGAAGUUUCAGAAAGAAGAGAACUCAAAGGGAAAACAAAAGAACAUGUCUUUCAAGCUUGAAGAGAAUCACCUGUCAUAUGACACCUUUAUUGAGUCUUGACAACACUUUUUUUAAAUUCAAAUUCCAUUUUUUUAAUUUUUAAAUGAUUUUUAUUUUUUCCAUUAUAGUUGGUUUACAAUUUAUACUGUAUAGCAAAGUGACACAGUCACACACACACGUAUACAUUGUUUUUCUCACAUUAUCCUCCGUCAUGUUCCAUCAUAAGUGACUAGAUAUAGUCCCUUGUGCUAUACAGCAGGAUCGCAUUGCUUAUCCACUCCAAAUGCAAUAGUUUGCACCUAUUAACCCCAGACUCCCAGUCCAUCCCACUCCCUCCCCCUCCCCUUGGCAACCACAAGUCUAUUCUCCAAGUCCAUGAGUUUCUUUUCUGUGGAAAGGUUCAUUUGUGCUGUAUAUUAGAUUCCACAUAUAAGUGGUAUCUUAUGGUAUUUGUCUUUAUCUUUCUGACUUACUUCACUCAGGGUGAGAGUCUCUCAUUCCAUCUAUGUUGCUCCAAAUGGCAUUAGUGUGUUCUUUUCUAUGGUAGACCACGUUUUACAUGUAAGAAUUGUUUGGAAAAGCAUUACUACCCCAUUGAUCAUUUUAAAAUAUUGCAGAAAUAUAUGUCUCCUUCCUAAAGUUUUGGAUACCCAAUUACAGUUCUGUUUGCAGAAAUACAAAUUGUGCCUUCACCUCUAAAAACAGUAUGGUUUGUUUUAUCUUCUGUUUGAGAUUCUUCAAGAGCAGGAAGAUGAUACUAUAAUAACCGAAGUAUGUUACAUCUGAAAAAUGAAUAACAACUGUCAUUAUUUUACCACAUUUGCUGUGUUCUUUUUUGACUUAAGACAUCCCAAUGAAAAAUAGCCUUGUUAAAAACAAUAGCUUGCCAACUCCCGCUUUUUAUUUGGCCUGGUGUACAAGUAAUGGAGACUGCAAAAAGAAUGGGCAAUAGUAACUCUAGAAAGGGGAUUU